RNAcentral lists this transfer RNA (84 nucleotides) under Candidatus Methanoperedentaceae archaeon. RNAcentral's name for it is "tRNA-Leu". It matches the Rfam family "tRNA". Rfam says of the family: Transfer RNA (tRNA) molecules are approximately 80 nucleotides in length. Their secondary structure includes four short double-helical elements and three loops (D, anti-codon, and T loops). The record is from RNAcentral. Lineage: Archaea; Methanobacteriati; Methanobacteriota; Methanomicrobia; Methanosarcinales; Candidatus Methanoperedentaceae.
GCGAGAGUAUCCAAGUCGGCCAAAGGAGCGGGACUUAAGAUCCCGUCGCGAAGGCGUCCAAGGGUUCAAAUCCCUUCUCUCGCA